UGAGUGUGCAACCGUCUUGUUUUUGUUAUGCUAAACAUUAACUGACUGUUUCUUAGCAAGCUUGGGACUACAGAGUUCGCUUCCUCCAACCGGGGUGAUUGUGAUGCUGUUAGUAGAACUGCUGUUCUUAGAAGUGGCUACGUCCAGCUACUGGGAAAGGUACAUCUCUAGCUGGUGUUAUCACUGAUGGACACUGACUGCUUAGUCUUAUGUAUAAUUGAUUAGUUGAAGAAUGGUGGACUAUUUAGAAAUUUAGUAUUUCUUGAAACUUAAUCCGGAGGGUACAAAGUCUGCUAAAAUCAGAACAAAGAGCAGGGAAUUCCUUACCAUGUGAUCACUGUAAUGCUGAAGAGUAGUAACUUAAUACUUCCUACCUGUCUGCUGAAU
RNAcentral lists this long non-coding RNA (387 nucleotides) under Gallus gallus (chicken). RNAcentral's name for it is "long non-coding RNA NONGGAT008917". Lineage: Eukaryota; Metazoa; Chordata; Aves; Galliformes; Phasianidae. The record is from RNAcentral.